CAGGAAUAUAUCUCACGUUCUCUGUCCUUUGGGGACUUCUCACUGCUUGGCAGAUAGAGCUGCACAUGUGGGAGAGGUAACAUCCCUGGAGACUUGGAAAAUGGAGACCAGCAUCCCCACACCGACCCUCAGGGCGGCUGAGGAAUUACCACAUGAGAAUGGAUACUGAAACGGGUGAUGUAAUUCUGAGCAUCCGUGUUUUGGAGGAAUUAUUCUUCCUCUAUUCUAUGUUGAUCAUGGAACUCUUCUCACAACCAGUGGGAGGCAUCUGGGCCAAGCUGAGGCAAUCAGCGUCUUCUUUCCGAAGUUCUCAUCCUGAGGGAGUAUACUGA
RNAcentral lists this long non-coding RNA (332 nucleotides) under Chinchilla lanigera (long-tailed chinchilla). RNAcentral describes it as "lncRNA (ENSCLAG00000023866.1)". The record is from RNAcentral. Lineage: Eukaryota; Metazoa; Chordata; Mammalia; Rodentia; Chinchillidae.